GACCCCAAAGGCCAAAGCCCAGCCCCUAGCCUAAUUUUCACGAAAUUAGGGUUCUGGCUUCUUUCCCCUCUCUCUCUCUCCGCCACUUCCUCCUUCCUCUCUCUCUCUUCCUGCCCGUCUCUCUCUCUUUCUGCUUAUUCUUGCCUUCUUCUUCAGUUCUUCUUGCCCUUCACUUGUUCAAGGCUUCAACUCUUCAAGGCGUUCAAGCCCUUCAAGCGAGUUCAAGGCUUCAGUCUAGAAAAUGUCAGAUUCAGAUGACAUGAUGGUGACAAAUUCAAAUGAAACAAAUAAAGUUUCGGAUCUCACAAGUGAAUGAAACAUGACCUCCAAGCUUAUUUAAUUUGCAUUGUGGCUUUGUUAUAUUAUUGUACUUUGUAAUUUGUAUGUUUGGAAUUAUGUAACUAAUGACUUCCCCUAAACUUUAGCUUUUAAUUAGUACUUUAAUCAUGUUAAGACUUGUAUUUUAAUAUGUUAAAACAGGUUACUAGGUUACUUAAAUGUAGCAGGUACUCAA
This is a long non-coding RNA of Chenopodium quinoa (quinoa), 514 nucleotides long. RefSeq lists it as uncharacterized. The record is from RefSeq and is a predicted model, not a curated record. Lineage: Eukaryota; Viridiplantae; Streptophyta; Magnoliopsida; Caryophyllales; Amaranthaceae. The transcript has 2 exons.